This is a long non-coding RNA of Syzygium oleosum, 801 nucleotides long. RefSeq lists it as uncharacterized. The record is from RefSeq and is a predicted model, not a curated record. NCBI's taxonomy places the organism in Eukaryota, Viridiplantae, Streptophyta, Magnoliopsida, Myrtales, Myrtaceae. The transcript has 2 exons.
UUAUGUAUCUUAUUUUUGGUUACUUUCCGGAGUGAACAGUCUUAUGCACUGUUCUUUAAGCUGGAAGUUUAGGUGGUACGUCUUUUGUGAUUGAGUCUCGAUUCUCGGCCUCCCUUUCAUCAUUAUCACUUCCUUGCACGUGCUUAUGCAUUUGGACAUGUGCAGAUGUGGCGUUUUCUUGUUCUUACAAUAGGCAAACUGUAUUUCUUGCGCUUAGGAUUCCCUCAGGUCUUUGCCAUGCCUUUGUUCUCCUUUCUUAUCUUGUACAGCAAUGUUUUGCCUAUUCCUUUCUGUCUCUCCUUGGCAAUUCAAAAAUGUUUUUGUCUCCAUUUUGUUCGGUGGACUUAGCUGAUAGACACUAAUACAUAGGAAGCUGAUGUCUUUUAGAUGCAAAACUCUGGCUAGUUUGCAUUGAGGAUCUUCGGGGACAUGAAGAAGACUUCAGAGGUUCUCUCUUGUUUUUUGAAGGGUGAUUUAUUUCAUUGGCGACAUUUCUUUUACAGAGACAAUCAACUGAAAAGGAGUACGACCCUCUUUGCAUGAUGCUAGCCAGUUGCUGGGUCUGGCUUUUCAAACUACUUUUCAGCAGCAUGCGGAAUUUUCAGCUUGGCAUGUAUUUUUGAUGCAGGACUUUAGCUUAUGGUCUGUUAAAAUAUGAUCAAUUUUACUAGAGUUAUCAAGAAUAAUCUUUACAAAUAUUUUGUUCAUAGAAGUAGUUGGAGAUAGAGAUAGAAAGGAGCCCACAUCAUUGUGUGCAGAAGAAUCCAAGAAAUAAUCUCUAUCAAGUGACUUUGGAUAAUA